Molecule: ribosomal RNA, 230 nt
Filed under: uncultured bacterium
Lineage: Bacteria
Description: partial 16S ribosomal RNA
Rfam family: Bacterial small subunit ribosomal RNA
Source: RNAcentral
AAAGCGUGCGCAGGCGGUUAUGUAAGACAGAUGUGAAAUCCCCGGUCUCAACCUGGGAACUGCAUUUGUGACUGCAUGGCUAGAGUACGGUAGAGGGGGAUGGAAUUCCGCGUGUAGCAGUGAAAUGCGUAGAUAUGCGGAGGAACACCGAUGGCGAAGGCAAUCCCCUGGACCUGUACUGACGCUCAUGCACGAAAGCGUGGGGAGCAAACAGGAUUAGAUACCCGAGU